This is an RNA transcript of Vitis vinifera (wine grape), 637 nucleotides long. RefSeq lists it as uncharacterized. NCBI's taxonomy places the organism in Eukaryota, Viridiplantae, Streptophyta, Magnoliopsida, Vitales, Vitaceae. The transcript is spliced from 2 exons. The record is from RefSeq and is a predicted model, not a curated record.
UUUUUCACCUGGACACUAACUCAACGGAAACCCAAAACUCCAUUUGCCCUUGUCCCUCCCGGAACCCUAAUCUCUGCCUCGUCUUUCUCUUCAUCUUGGAAACCCAAAUCCUUGAAAGCCUAACCUCAUUUGCGUAAAUUUCAUUUCGUGGAGUUCCAUUCUUUUCGUUGGGUUAAUCAAUGGCUUGGUACAGUAUGUAAUCUGUUACAAUUUUCAAGAAUUUCAGAGGUAGCUUUCAGGAUUUAACAAGACACAGCCUGGAAGUUUCUGGAGUUACUAGUGAUUUUUGCUUGCCUCUCAACCUUCCAUUGAUAAAACAGAACAAAGAGGUAUUUUUUCCAUUUUAUUUUGUCAUACUUCCACUUAGAUGAUCAUCGUGGAUUCUUUUGGCUAAUAAACUGUCAUUCUGGACGUCUUUAAUCAUAGAAGAAUGAUGAGAUUUGGUUCUUUAUUUAUUUUUAUUGCUUUGGCUAAGAAAUAAAAUUUUCAUAUAGAGCACUUGUUUAAUUUUAUCUGCAUAAUCUUGUUUAACAAGUGUCUUAGUUUUGAGGAGAUUUUGAUUCAAUAUUCAGGGUCUUUUUCUGGCCUGGGUUUUCUAUCAUUGUACUUAUCUGGAAAAUACGAGCAUUUGACAAUA